GUGUGUGUGGUGUGUUGAUAAAGGCUGGGAAAACAAGGGGAAACCCUUAUUCAUCAUAAAAUCACCAAAUCGAAGGAAGAUUCGAGUCUCAAAUUCGUGCAUGAACAUAAAUUCGUGAUCAUCUAAGCUUGGAAAUCAUGAGGUAUGUCAUAAUUUAUGUUUUGGUGAUGAUGAGUAUGUGGAUGAACUUGAAAGUGAUAACCUUGAGUUCAACAUUUUGUUAAUAUGGUGAAAUCGAUAAUGAAAUUAUAUUUGUAAUCAUCAUACUUACAAGUAUAUGUGAAAUACUUGAACAAUUUUGUGAUUUGAAUAAGUGUUCAUGUAUGACAUGAAGUGGGUUUUUGAUUAAAUGAUGAAAUUGAUGAUAUAUGAGUGUUCAUGAUCAUCCUAUUUGUAUGUAUGUGUAAGAUACUUGAACAAAAUAGAGAUUCGAGUAAGUGUUCAUACAUGACUUGAAAUGGGUUUUUGUAUGAUAUGAUAAAUUGAUAUUAUGUUAAUGUUAAUAAGUGUUUGAGGUCAUGUUGUCUACUAGUUUGUAUGUAGAACUUGAUUAUAUUAGGUAUUCAAAUGAAUGCCUAGUAGUAUAAGGAAAUGGGCUUUACAUAUAGAUGAAAACCCUUAGUUCUAGCAUGAAGAAUGGAUAAAUUGGCAUUGAUAAUCGAAAGCUAAGUUAACUUGAUGUUAUUAAUCGCUCAAACUUGUUAAAGUGAAAGAAAUGAGAUUAACUUGGUUGGGAUUUUAGUUAAAAGGGUAGCUUAGAAAUAACGCCUACUGAAUAUUAGAUGAAACGCCUAAGUGAGUUCGUUGAACCUAUUAGGGCAUAUGCAUAUGUCAAUAGGCAGUCGACUUUUUGAAAGUCAAACUGACCUAUAAUAAGAUUGAAUGACAAUUUUGAUAUAAAAUUCGUAAGAUGGAAUAGUCGUGAUAAAUGAUGACUAAUCUAACCAUCUUGUAAAUGAGAGAUGAUAGUUUGAUACUUGACAAGCUAGGUGGGGCUUGGGGAAGAAACGGGUCAAACGACUCAAGAACGAGGGAAAAAGCAUAAUUAGAUGCAAGGUAAGUGAAACUUACAUCUUUAAAAUAGAACAUCUAUUUAUAUAUUUGACUAAGAAUAAGCGCUUUGGUAUUCGGAAUGAGAUUUAGAAAUAUGACGUCCCGACACGAAUCGACACGGGUCGGAACAAGUGAAAAUGGUAAUAAACCAUAUUGAAUGGUAAAAAGGGUAAAAUGGGUAAAAUGGUAAUUUAGUCAUGUCAUGAAGAAUAAACAAGGAGUUUUGAAAAGUUGCCUUAUGGUGUAUAAUAGGUAAAAAGGGUAAAAUAGUAAUUCGGUCACGAGUUGACAAAUAAAUAUUGAGUUUCAAAAAAUACGCCCUAUGGUGUAAGCCAUAAUGGGUCAAAAGAAUUAAGAAACGACUUUAAGUAGUAUGAUCAUAUGGUGUAAACCGAAACUGACUAAAUGGUGAGAUGGUAAAUAAAUACCAUCUCAUAAUGGUAAAAUGGUCAUUUAGGCCAAAUAGGUCAAACUAUCAUCAUUUGAAAAUAAUGACUAAUGGUCGCUUGUCGAGUUUUGUGCCCACAGGAAGGAUAGCGUAUGACUUGCAUUGCUAUUAAUUAGCAAUUAAUAGUUUAACGUAUUAAAACGGGUCAAUGCUAAGACCUGAGCCAGGUACGUGUUAUGGGUCAAACUCUCAAUGAGUACUUAAAGGUCCGACGAGAGUUAAUCGAGUCAUGGGUGGGCUUUGGAUUACCUAAAGUGAGGUAUAUCUAAUCAUUUGAAAAUUUGGGAACAUCAUGUCCUUAGGAAUUCAACGAUUUGAAUAGAACAACGGUUUAAGGUAUUCAUUUGGUCAAAUUAUGCGUCUAAAAGUCCUUCGUGGUAAAAAGGAUUAGGUUGACCAAAACGCCCUCCAAUGAAAAACCCGGAAAACGACCCCUUGAGGGUAGUUUAAAUAUAAAUUCUAUAAUUCGUUCAACCCUUACGAUAGUAUAAAAUGGAAGGUUUAAACCAUUUUGGCUUAAAACUAAAUAUUGGAUCAUUUUCGUAGAAUGUCUAACUUGGGAUAGAAUGGGAAUAUAACGAUUUUUCCCAUUCACGAUCCAUCACAUUUGAAGUUGUGAUAUAUAAAUGAAAAUGAGAAAUGGGAGCGUGAACUAAAUAAUCGGACUAGGUUACGGAGUCAUGAUUGAAAGGUUUGGAAUUUUUAAAAAGAAAUCGUAUUAAACAUGCGAACAAGUCAAUUAGCAUAACCGUGAACCGAUAGCGGACACAUAAAACACAAGAAUAAUACCCCGGGUUAUGGGGUAUAGUCAUAAAAAUAAUGAUCUUGUAAAACGAUGUAAUAUUUGUGAGACCGUUUGCUUAAUCAUGCAAACAAGUCAAUUAUUUACAAUAAAUAUAUUGGAACCAAUGGUGUAAAACAAAUUUGGUGAAUCCGGAUAAUGGGUUCACAAGUUAGGAAUGUGGGAAAUUGUUUUACGAAUGCGUAGGAAAAAGUUUCGUGCGAAACGGAUAAGAAUUGAUCAAGUUACGGAAGUUUUCGUAACAAAAACGACAAAAAUGGAAAAGCUGCAGAGCAGCCAACCAUAAGCUACGGUUGCCAAUUGUAGCCUACGGCUGGCAGCUGCUGCCAAACACAGAAUGUGUGACCCGUAAGCUACGGCCCACAACCGUAGCCUACGACGUGUUUCUUCCAAAAUGGAUUUUGUUUGUUUGUUUGAUAUUUUAGGUUAUAAAACCAUUUCUAAGCUCCAUAUAACUAACAUGUGAGUUGUUAUUGGUGUAUAGGUGAUAGCUAGGACCUUAUGGAUGAUGAUCAAGCAUUGUGGUUAAACCGAAAACACAACCGAAGUUCAAGCUUCCGCUUAGUUUCGUUAUUUUACGAACUGAAUCAAUUAUGAACUUUAUAAAGGUCACAUUGAAUUCAAUCAGAUACGUCGAAAUGUGAUGGUUAACGCAUCACAUAACAUUUGGACUAAUCCAUUCAACAUUUACGAUAAACCGGUACCACAACACGCGCGGGUCUUAUUGCUAGUUGUAUAAAAUAAUGUAACAUCCCAUUUCAGGAUUUACAUUAGACUGGAAAAUGGGAGUUGUAGUUUAGGACCAAGAUGUAAAGGACCAAACUAUAAGGAUUAAUUGUGUAAUUUAACCACUUUGGUUAUAUUUUUUUUU
Molecule: long non-coding RNA, 3174 nt
Filed under: Helianthus annuus (common sunflower)
Lineage: Eukaryota; Viridiplantae; Streptophyta; Magnoliopsida; Asterales; Asteraceae
Description: hypothetical non coding rna
Source: RNAcentral